GAUGAACGCUGGCGGCGUGUCUAAGGCAUGCAAGUCGAACGAUCUCUUCGGAGAUAGUGGCAAACGGGAGAGUAACACAUUGGUAUCUACCCUCAAGUCGGGGAUAAUCACGCGAAAGUGUGACUAAUACCCGAUAGUCUCGCAAGAGUAAAGUUUUUCGCUUGAGGAAGGGCCUAUGUACCAUCAGCUUGUUGGUAGUGUAAUGGACUACCAAGGCAACGACGGUUAGCGGGCGUGAGAGCGUGGCCCGUCUCACUGGGACUGAGACACUGCCCAGACUCCUACGGGAGGCUGCAGUCAAGAAUCUUCCGCAAUGGGCGAAAGCCUGACGGAGCGACGCCGCGUGCAGGAUGACACCCUUAGGGGCGUAAACUGCUUUUAUCAGGGACGAAUUAGUGACGGUACCUGAUGAAU
Molecule: ribosomal RNA, 414 nt
Filed under: uncultured bacterium
Lineage: Bacteria
Description: bacterial SSU rRNA
Rfam family: Bacterial small subunit ribosomal RNA
Source: RNAcentral